CUUGACCAGCUCUAAAGCCAUGCAGUGGGUUAAGCUAUGGAAAUGUUGUUGAUCACAGACAAAAUUGUGUUCAAAAUCCCCAAAACUGGGAACACUUUUAGAUUGAUUUGUUUGUUUCUUUUCAGAAUUCUCCUUCCUCGGGCGGCAGUCAAGUGAGCUCUGCUGGGAAACACUCCACUCCCGGGUUCCUGCUGUUAUUCAGUGUUUUGAGUGCCUUUGCUCUCUCUGCUGCUACAUCAAAAUGGUCUAUAUGAACUUCUGAAGAGUUGUUUGGCAUCCUAGACAUGGAUUAUAUUCCGUAAUAUCAGAUUAAUUACUUGUUGUAAGAAAAACAAAAUACCCUUAAGUUGAAUUGGCAGAUGCUACUUGGCUGUUAUGUUCUAUGUGUAGCUAGUAUGUCAUGCCUCUCAUUAGUUUACUUUUCAUUUUAGUCAUUAGUAGAUACCAUUAGUUUUGUCAGUGUUUUAGGCAUCAUUUUAAGAGAGCAUAUUGUACCCUACCUAUAUGAUUUAUUUUUAUUUCCCACGGGGAAUGCAAUGAACAUGAAAUCUGAUUGAUGCUACAAACAAAUCCUUAAAAACUAUUUGGCUAUUGACAAGAGCGGAGGAGGUCAAACAAAUUGUUGUAUAUUGAAACCACCUGGGCAUCAUCACUUGAAAUAAGGCUAAGGUGAACAUCUGACAAGCAGUCCUCCAUGGGACAGAAGAAAAGAUGCUAGAAUAAUAUCAGAGUAUUGGGUUUAGCGUAGCCAUGGGACUAAAAUUUUGGGGAGUUAAUUAUUCAUUAAAGAAGCCAAACAGCCAAACAGAGAAAUGCUAAAUUCUGUUCAAAUACCUGAAGUUCUGUAGAGAAGCAUAUGAGGCAAAUGCACCUUAGGUUAGGCUGGUAGUCUAAAAGCUGCUGAAAACCAAUGCAUUUUCCCUUGGGAAGGAAUGGAAAUUUAAUUAAGUUCAUAAAACUGUUAGUUUCUUGGCUCUUUUUCUCAAGUAUUUAGUCUAACCUGUGAUGUCCGAUGUAUCUUCAAGUUUAAUAUCAAGAAUGAUGCUGACA
RNAcentral lists this long non-coding RNA (1050 nucleotides) under Strigops habroptila (Kakapo). Its description in RNAcentral is "lncRNA (ENSSHBG00005011656.1)". Lineage: Eukaryota; Metazoa; Chordata; Aves; Psittaciformes; Psittacidae. The record is from RNAcentral.